CGAAAGCCUGACGGAGCAAGACCGCGUGAGGGAGGAAGGCUCUAGGGUUGUAAACCUCUUUUAUCAGGGAAGAAGCUCUGACGGUACCUGAGGAAUCAGCAUCGGCUAACUCCGUGCCAGCAGCCGCGGUAAUACGGAGGAUGCAAGCGUUAUCCGGAAUCAUUGGGCGUAAAGCGUCCGCAGGUGGGAGUUCAAGUCGAUUGUCAAAGGCAGUAGCUUAACUACUGAAAGCCAGUGGAAACUGAACAACUAGAGUGCGUUAGGGUUAGAGGGAAUUCCCGGUGUAGCGGUGAAAUGCGUAGAGAUCGGGAAGAACACCAGUGGCGAAAGCGCUCUACUGGACUUAUACUGACACUGAGGGACGAAAGCUAGGGGAGCG
This 379-nucleotide ribosomal RNA is filed under the name uncultured cyanobacterium. Its description in RNAcentral is "bacterial SSU rRNA". It matches the Rfam family "Bacterial small subunit ribosomal RNA", at positions 376 to 770 of the family's 1533-position model. Lineage: Bacteria; Bacillati; Cyanobacteriota. The record is from RNAcentral.